UACGAAGGGAGCUAGCGUUGUUCGGAAUUACUGGGCGUAAAGGGCGCGUAGGCGGACAUCUAAGUCAGGGGUGAAAUCCCAGGGCUCAACCCUGGAAUUGCCUUUGAUACUGGACGUCUCGAGUUCGGGAGAGGUGAGUGGAAUUCCGAGUGUAGAGGUGAAAUUCGUAGAUAUUCGCAAGAACACCAGUGGCGAAGGCGGCUCACUGGCCCGGUACUGACGCUGAGGUGCGAAAGCGUGGGGAGCAAACAGG
Molecule: ribosomal RNA, 253 nt
Filed under: uncultured bacterium
Lineage: Bacteria
Description: partial 16S ribosomal RNA
Rfam family: Bacterial small subunit ribosomal RNA
Source: RNAcentral